UGCCAGCAGCCGCGGUAAUACGGAGGAUGCAAGCGUUAUCCGGAUUUAUUGGGUUUAAAGGGUGCGUAGGCGGAUUAAUAAGUCAGUGGUGAAAUCCCUCAGCUCAACUGAGGAACUGCCAUUGAUACUGUUAGUCUUGAGUAUAGUUGAAGUGGGCGGAAUAUGUCAUGUAGCGGUGAAAUGCUUAGAUAUGACAUAGAACACCGAUCGCGAAGGCAGCUCACUAAACUAUUACUGACGCUAAUGCACGAAAGCGUGGGUAGCGAACAGGAUUAGAUA
This 279-nucleotide ribosomal RNA is filed under the name uncultured bacterium. Its description in RNAcentral is "partial 16S ribosomal RNA". It matches the Rfam family "Bacterial small subunit ribosomal RNA", at positions 506 to 784 of the family's 1533-position model. The record is from RNAcentral.